GAUUCCCCUAGUAACUGCGAGUGAAGAGGGAAAAGCUCAAAUUUAAAAUCUGGUACCCUUAGGGUGCUCGAGUUGUAAUUUGGAGAGGCGUUUUCUGUGCUGGACUGUGUAAAAGUUUCUUGGAAUAGAACAUCAUAGAGGGUGAGAAUCCCGUCUUUGACACAGACUACCAGUGCUAUGUGAUACGCUUUCAAAGAGUCGCGUUGUUUGGGAAUGCAGCGCUAAAUGGGUGGUAAAUUCCAUCUAAAGCUAAAUAUUGGCGAGAGACCGAUAGCGAACAAGUACCGUGAGGGAAAGAUGAAAAGCACUUUGGAAAGAGAGUUAAACAGUACGUGAAAUUGUUGAAAGGGAAACGCUUGAAGUCAGUCGCAUUGCUUUGGAUUCAGCCUUGCUCUUUUGCUUGGUGUAUUUCCUUAGUAAUGGGUCAGCAUCAAUUUUGUUCAAUGGAAAAAGGAUGGGGGAAGGUGGCACCUCCGGGUGUGUUAUAGCCCCUGUCUGUAUACAUUGAAUGGGAUUGAGGUCUGCAGCACGCCUUUAUGGCCGGGGUUCGCCCACGCAAGUGCUUAGGAUGCUGGCAUAAUGGCUUUAAGCGACCCGUCUUGAAACACGGACCAAGGAGUCUAACAUACCUGCGAGUGUUUGGGUGCUAAAACUCAUGCGCGUAGUGAAAGCAAAAGUUAAGAUCCCUGUCGUGGGGAGCAUUGAC
This 706-nucleotide ribosomal RNA is filed under the name Waitea circinata. Its description in RNAcentral is "partial large subunit ribosomal RNA". It matches the Rfam family "Eukaryotic large subunit ribosomal RNA", at positions 73 to 762 of the family's 3401-position model. The record is from RNAcentral. Lineage: Eukaryota; Fungi; Basidiomycota; Agaricomycetes; Corticiales; Corticiaceae.